This 382-nucleotide ribosomal RNA is filed under the name uncultured bacterium. Its description in RNAcentral is "bacterial SSU rRNA". It matches the Rfam family "Bacterial small subunit ribosomal RNA", at positions 518 to 898 of the family's 1533-position model. The record is from RNAcentral.
CGGUAAUACGUAGGGUGCGAGCGUUAAUCGGAAUUACUGGGCGUGGCAAGUGCGCAGGCGGAUUGUUAAGCAAGAUGUGAGAUCCCCGGGCUUAACCUGGGAAUGGCAUUUUGAACUGGCAGUCUAGAGUGUGUCAGAGGGGGGUGGAAUUCCACGUGUAGCAGUGAAAUGCGCUAGCGUGUGGAGGAACACCAAUGGCGAAGGCAGCCCCCUGGGAUAACACUGACGCUCAUGUACGAAAGCGUGGGUAGCGAACGAAGCCGACAUUUGUGGUAGUCCACGCCCUAAACGAUGUCAACUGGUUGUUGGGGGAGUGAAAUCCCUUAGUAACGAAGCUAACGCGUGAAGUUGACCGCCUGGGGAGUACGGUCGCAAGAUUAAA